GUAGUCAUAUGCUUGUCUCAAAGAUUAAGCCAUGCAUGUCUAAGUAUAAGCAAUCAUACUGUGAAACUGCGAAUGGCUCAUUAUAUCAGUUAUCGUUUAUUUGAUAGUACCUUACUACUUGGAUAACCGUGGUAAUUCUAGAGCUAAUACAUGCUACAAACCCCGACUUCGGAAGGGGUGUAUUUAUUAGAUAAAAAACCAAUGCCCUUUGGGCUCUGUGGUGAUUCAUAAUAACUUUUCGAAUCGCAUGGCCUUGCGCCGGCGAUGGUUCAUUCAAAUUUCUGCCCUAUCAACUUUCGAUGGUAGGAUAGUGGCCUACCAUGGUUUCCACGGGUAACGGGGAAUUAGGGUUCUAUUCCGGAGAGGGAGCCUGAGAAACGGCUACCACAUCCAAGGAAGGCAGCAGGCGCGCAAAUUACCCAAUCCCGAUUCGGGGAGGUAGUGACAAUAAAUACUGAUGCAGGGCUCUUUUGGGUCUUGCAAUUGGAAUGAGUACAAUCUAAAUCCCUUAACGAGGAACAAUUGGAGGGCAAGUCUGGUGAACCUCAGUACUGCUGACGCCAGAGAUAGUGGGACGGUCCGCCGUUAUGCCCACUAGUCGAGCAUCCGAACCGUGAUGGGUGGAUGCCGGCGAGACAACCUGGAUCGGGGAAGGCUAAGGGCUGGCGUCUGUUACAGCGCAGCCUAUGCUAAUCCCGAGCGGAGUCGCCAGACCCGUGUAGAGCGCGCCAAGGUGUCGGUCGCUGUCAAGCGGCUUAAGGUACGUGCCUUCCCAUGGGAAACCAUGCCGAACACUGGAGCACCCAUCAUGCAAAGGUGUCGGACGCCCAAGCGUGGACAAGAGGCCAGCAGCCGCGGUAAUUCCAGCUCCAAUAGCGUAUAUUAAAGUUGUUGCAGUUAAAAAGCUCGUAGUUGAACCUUGGGCCUGGCUGGUCGGUCCGCCUCACCGCGUGCACUGAUCCGGCCGGGCCUUUCCUCCUGGGGAGCCGCAUGCCCUUCACUGGGUGUGUCGGGGAACCAGGACUUUUACUUUGAAAAAAUUAGAGUGUUCAAAGCAGGCCUUCGCUCGAAUACAUUAGCAUGGAAUAAUAGAAUAGGACGCGCGGUUCUAUUUUGUUGGUUUCUAGGACCGCCGUAAUGAUUAAUAGGGAUAGUCGGGGGCAUCAGUAUUCAAUUGUCAGAGGUGAAAUUCUUGGAUUUAUUGAAGACUAACUACUGCGAAAGCAUUUGCCAAGGAUGUUUUCAUUAAUCAGUGAACGAAAGUUAGGGGAUCGAAGACGAUCAGAUACCGUCGUAGUCUUAACCAUAAACUAUGCCGACUAGGGAUCGGGCGAUGUUAUCUUUUGACUCGCUCGGCACCUUACGAGAAAUCAAAGUCUUUGGGUUCUGGGGGGAGUACGUCAGCAAUGAUGAAACUUAAAGAAAUUGACGGAAGGGCACCACCAGGAGUGGAGCCUGCGGCUUAAUUUGACUCAACACGGGGAAACUCACCAGGUCCAGACAUGAAAAGGAUUGACAGAUUGAGAGCUCUUUCUUGAUCUCAUGGGUGGUGGUGCAUGGCCGUUCUUAGUUGGUGGAGUGAUUUGUCUGCUUAAUUGCGAUAACGAACGAGACCUUAACCUGCUAAAUAGCCCGGUUCGCUUUGGCGGAUCGCUGGCUUCUUAGAGGGACUAUCGGCUCAAGCCGAUGGAAGUUUGAGGCAAUAACAGGUCUGUGAUGCCCUUAGAUGUUCUGGGCCGCACGCGCGCUACACUGACAGAGCCAACGAGUGUCUUCCUUGGCCGAAAGGUCUGGGUAAUCUUGUAAACUCUGUCGUGCUGGGGAUAGAGCAUUGCAAUUAUUGCUCUUCAACGAGGAAUUCCUAGUAAGCGCAAGUCAUCAGCUUGCGUUGAUUAUGUCCCUGCCCUUUGUACACACCGCCCGUCGCUACUACCGAUUGAAUGGCUCAGUGAGGCCUUCGGACUGGCUCCAGGAGGUCGGCAACGACCACCCAGAGCCGGAAAGUUGGUCAAACUUGGUCAUUUAGAGGAAGUAAAAGUCGUAACAAGGUCUCCGUAGGUGAACCUGCGGA
RNAcentral lists this ribosomal RNA (2071 nucleotides) under Kendrickiella phycomyces. RNAcentral's name for it is "SSU rRNA". It matches the Rfam family "Eukaryotic small subunit ribosomal RNA". The record is from RNAcentral. Lineage: Eukaryota; Fungi; Ascomycota.